AUGUUGGCUGAAGGUUUUCUCAGACUGCUGGUGUACAGGGAGGAGAGAAAGUUUGCCUCCAAUUCCAAGCAAAAGAGAUUGCAGACAAGUGGUCAUUGUGCCGAUCCAUCCAACUGUGCUCGCUCUGACUCGAGCUCUGCAGUCCCAGGGGUGCAUUCAGCAGAAGCAGGGAUCACAGAGGAAGAUCUAAACUCCAGCCAACCCCAGAUUCUCAAAGUGGUGCCUCAGAGACCUGUAGCCCUCUCAAUCCCCACUGACCUGUACCCCCUUUACAUAGAAGACUGUAGCUUGCUGGAACAGUAUCCAGACCUGCAGGUGGCUGACUCAGGCCGCAUCACGCACAAUCUACUGAGAACUGCUGUCAGCCAGCCUGAUUUCUGCAUCCAGUCUCCCAUCUCUCAAGUUUGUCCAAGCACAGCCCAGCAAGAGCCACAGAAUUCAGUCCCAUCCAUACCAGACCAGGGUUAUCUAGCAAUGGGGGACAGUGCGAACAUCAGCCUGGAUCUGCCUGGACUAGAGCCCAUGUCUAACUCGGUGCUGAACGGGCUGCUGGAGAAACAGCUGGAGGAGGUGUACAUGCAGCAUCUAACUGAGAACUUAGCUCGAUGCAACUCCCACCUGGGGAACAGCCUCCUGCACGGCCUGGUGCCCCCGCCGCAGCCUAGCAGCCAGUCAGAGGGGGCGGACUCAUUACUGGGAAGCAUGGAAGGAAGCACAGAAGACAGCAGCAGUAAAAUUAGCUAUCUGAACACCCAUAACUUAGUGCCCUGCUCCUCCAACUUCAGCUCCCCAGUGUUGAGGAUUUCAGAGGCGGAAAAUCCUCAUCCGCAAUGAUCCUGCAACAGCUUUAAAUAUAAUUGUGACCUGUCUUUGCUUUAGUGCUUCACACCCACGUUUACACACACACGAUUGUAUCCACUAUAUCAGUGCUAUUUUUAUACAAAGCCUUGCUCUCUUGCUUAAGAUGCCUGAAACUUAGCUGCUUUCAUAUGCCAUCUGCUGUUAGAUUUGAGUAUUACACCAUCAUGGAGCUACUUGUUAUACAUUCAAAUGGAUUUUACUGACUUUUAGUUGGGAAUGUGUUAAGUGUUUGAUUUAUAAUAAAGCAAGAUAUAACAAAGUAUCAGUUUGAUGUGGUUUACAACAGCGUUUUAUUAAUCUGUUGCUUUUUACCAACACCUGUAAAGCUAUCUUGUACCCAUUUACUUAGCAGAAAGCUGGAUAUUGACAUUUAUGUGUGCUAUGAAAAAAUAUGGUGUGCAAAAGUUUUUGCCACAAAAUAACUGAUUCAAGUGUGAUUACAAAAAGCCUUCGGACUGCCUGAUAUCUAAUAGUGGUCAGGAGAAAAGGGGGGCAUGAUAAUGCUGCCAUGUUGGCAACACAGAUUAAACACAACCCCACCGACAAGGCCCCCUUCAACACAAGCACAAACUUUACACGUUAUUGACCAGUUCUAUGCAAACGUGUCUGAUUAGGUUUGCAUGAUGAUUUCCACGGGUGUAUACAUAUCAUCUUGUUUGAUCUGCGCAGGCAGUUAAAGGCAUAGGAGAAAGCAGGUUCUACCUGUAGUCCUGAGACAUUCAAGUCAGGAAUGUCGGCAACUUCCUAUCUCAUCCAGAGAUGUUAUGUUGUUAAGUUAAGUGGUUAGGUUUUUGUUUAAAGGGACCCGAAGAUCACUCUAGCUUUGGCAUCAACUGUCAGAGCAGCAGCCUCAAGAAAUAUGAUUGAUCUGGCUGCUAAGGGGAAACACAAAUCAUCCUCACAAGUAGGCAUCCUGCAGUGAGGCUAAUGGUAAUUCAUUAACAUGCACCAAUAUAAUCUUUGGAAGCCUAAGGCAUGCUAUUCAUCUGUGAAAAGAGAUGCAAAACAGAGAUUUAACUGAGGUUAUCCUGUAAUUAUUUAGAAUUUAGAUUAGAAUUGGCAGUGUGAUCAGGCUUUGUUAUAUGUAGCCUCUGUGUGGAGAUUAUGGCAGGUAAAUCCAAGGUAAUUUAGAGGAGCUAAUCUAAAAAUUGAAUACGAAGACAAAGAACAGGGGUAAAUUAGAUUUAACUUGUAGGAGAUGUAUUAGUCCCAAACCGAGUGAACAGAGGAAAUUAAGUUAUUAAGUUUUAUCUGAUAUAAGCUUGAAGUCUAUUGAGAUGGAUUCAAAUAUCUCAUGUUUGUUGUUAAAUGUGUUCAAUUGAACCCAGUCUAACUUAACGCUUGUUUCAACCAAGUCAAACUAUCAGUCCGUGUUUUUGUUUUGGUCAGUUUGGUCUGAGCUACAGUCUUUGUAUUUUAGCAUCUGUCCAUUACCUGCAAAUUUAUAAUCAUUUUCAUCAAUUC
Oreochromis niloticus (Nile tilapia) is the source of this 2325-nucleotide long non-coding RNA. The record is from Ensembl. NCBI's taxonomy places the organism in Eukaryota, Metazoa, Chordata, Actinopteri, Cichliformes, Cichlidae.